GCUCCCCCGGGAGGGCAGGCUGCUGGCGGGGCGUCCUGGCGGGGAGGGCGCGCGUUCCUUGGGAGCCAGCUCGGCGGCCUGUCCCCUGCCCCGGGUUUGUCGCAGCGGUUGCAAUAAUGCAAGUUUCCUGUGGGGCUCUGGACUUCUCCGAGUUGAAGACGGCGAUUCGGGAAGCGAACCGCUCGCGGAGAGACUUGAGGACCCGGGUCGCUGCUGGUCCUCUUCCCUGUUUAAAUUCACGAGCUAAAAACAUUGAUUUCCCCCACGCCUCUCCCUUUUGGAAAACCAGGGUCGUAGGUGCGGACCACAAAGAACAUUCGACCUUGCUUAUGAGAUAGCUUUCUGCGCAGGAAAAGCUCACUUGUUACCAGCAUUUUAACGGGGUCCUUCCCUUCCACCUGGAGACCAGUUGCCCUCGCCGUAAAUAAGCCAUCCCAGUGAGGGUGAAGUGGUAUCGCACUAUGCAGUGGAGGGGCCCUGGAGAAGCGACUCAGCAGAAGCAUGGGCAGUGCUGGACUAUGGGAGGCACUGGGCGCCCGGCAGCUGCCUUCUCCAGGACUAGAGCUGUGCCUCGUGCUGCCUUGUGUCUCAGGGCUUCCAACCUGCCUGGCACUUGUAGUUGACGAUGAGGUCACUAUUGGAUAGAGCAGCUGUAGGCCACAGGCCACUGCCAUUGUGUCACUUCUCCUUGAAGAAUAGAAAGUGGAGGUGGCCAACAGGACUUCGAGGAAGGGGCAUCAGCAGGAUGAUGGUACCUUCUCUGAAGAAAGGCCGAUGGCAUCCAGGUUUCCUCUCUCGGGAAUGUGGCACGUGGCUGGUGUCUGCUGGUUCUUCAGUCUCAGGUAUUGUUGCCUUCAGCUCCUGGUUCCAGUGGCCUCCUCUCUGAGCUUCUGUGGGUCAUCUGUUAGCAUCUCGGGGGCUUUUCUCCCAGUAAUCCCUCUCUCAGCUUUUUCUACCCUUUAUCCUCUCAUAAAGGACUCCAGUUAAAGGACUAAGACCCACCUUGAAUGGGGUGGGUCACAUCUCAAUUGAAACAACCUAAAUGAAAGUUCUUACCCACAACAGAUCUGCACCUACAGGAGUGGAUUAAAAGGACAUGUCUUUUCUGGGGUACCUACCAGCUUCAAACCAGCGCAACUGUCUGGAAACUUGGCCUAUUUCCCCAUUAAGUAUUCCUAUUCUGACUUAUGGGGGAAGAAUUAUACGAUGGUAGCGCUGAAGGAAGGCUGGAGAUGAUUCUAGACCCCUGCAGCCCUCCUUAUGGUCUGAUGGCACACAGCUUGGCUCACUGGAUGCACCUGGCUCUCCUGCAGCCCCUGGCUUUGGUGCACACUUUCCCCCUCUCUGCAAGGCUAGCUCCUCAUGCUUCAACUUAAAUGUCUUAUUGGCGAGACCCUCCCUGACCCCCAAUCUAGAACACACUCCUGUCUUGCUGUUCUCAGAGAUUCCUAGCUUUUCCUGUAUGGCUUUGAGCUCAACUUGCACAGAGAUUAAUGUGUGGUUAACAGGAGCCCCCAAAAGAAAAGGGCCACCCCUGUCUUGCUCCCCGCUGCCUGCGCAGGCCUACCAGUGCCUCAUGCAUAGUUAACUAUUUGUUCAAUCCCUGAAUGGAUGAAGGAAUGCUGUUGUUAUGGAUUGACUUGUAUCUCCCAAAAGAUAAGUUCAAGUCCUAAGCCCUGCUCAGGUGAAUGUGAAGCUGUAAACAGGAUCUUUGCAGGGUUAUUAGUUCAGAUGAGACCAAAAUGGAUUUGGCUGGGCUUGAAUCCCAUCUGAUUGGUGUCCUUAUAAUCAGAGGAAGUUUGGAUGCAGUCUGUAAGAGAGAGAGAGACAGGGAAGGGUGGCCAUGUGGCAGGGGCAGAGAUGGAGUUAGGCCACCACAAACCCAGGACCACUGGGGGUAGCCAGCUGCCCCCAGAAGGCAGAGGAGGGGCGUGGAAUGGUGUCUCCCCUGCGGGAGGGAGCAUGGCCCUGCAACUAACCUAUUCCAGACUUCAGCCUCCAGAACCACAAGACAAUAAACUUCCACGGUGUGGGCCAAUGAGUCUGUGGUUCGAAACCGAGAAGGCCCCCUCUCUCCAACUGUACAUGGAGAAAUAAGCUCACAGAGGAGAAGAUGGAGGUGGCCAUCCCCUUGGGUGCUCAGGUGCUCUCGGUUCAGUCUGCCCCACCCUGCCUCUUCUCUUCCCCUGGGGUGCCUGCCCAGUCCUGGGGGUGGUGCACCGGACCAGUUCUCCUGGUUUCAGAGCCUUGGUCCAGCGGAGCCCCGCCCCGCUGCUUUGAGCGGCGGUGGGCUGGGGGGUGGGGUGGGGGUUCACACUUUAUACCACACACUUCUGCAGUGUUUUAAUCGUUCACAAGGAGCAGGGACUCGUUGCAUUAAACUUCCCCAACAACCCCACCCCCACCCCAGCCAAAGGGAGAAAAGCCCCCACUGGCUUCAAAGAAUAAGAUAUACAAAAAAGAAACACCAUUUCUGCCUUGCUGUGUUUUGUGACUUCCACUAAACAAAGCAAGAGUCCCCAGGGGGGAAGGUGCGGAUGUGUUGGACAUCCUCACCUGGACUGGUGUUGAUGUUGUCACAAACAUUGGGACUGGCGGUUUGAUGUGCUGAGCCCUCCAGCAUGGGACUUGCCCUUAUGAAGCU
This is a long non-coding RNA of Choloepus didactylus (southern two-toed sloth), 2644 nucleotides long. RefSeq lists it as uncharacterized. The transcript has 4 exons. The record is from RefSeq and is a predicted model, not a curated record. NCBI's taxonomy places the organism in Eukaryota, Metazoa, Chordata, Mammalia, Pilosa, Megalonychidae.